GUCUCCUUCUCCAGCCUCCCUCCCCAAGUUUGCUAAGGGUGCUUAUUUUAACCCGGUUUUGGUUACAAACACCCCCUCCCUCCCUCGCUCGCUCUCUCCCGUCAGGCUCUGGUUACCAGAUCCGCGUUUACUUUCGAAAAAUCUAAGAUCGCCACAUCCGAGGACACAUGUCUUAAGGAGGCGAUGAGCUUUCCGGGUUUUUUUGUAAAAAAUGUUCUUUAUGUAGUUUUCUUUUAAAAGCCAGCGUUUCGGAGCAAGCCCCGGCGCCCCACUUUGGAGAAGUCGGGGUGAAGCCCCCCGGAACACCCUCGCUCUGGCAGAGAAGCUGGCUCUGGCUCGGCCAUCUGCGGGCUCCGCCGCGUCCUCCCUACUUUUCUCCCCCUCUUAAAUGCAGUUAAAAUGGCUGAAUUCCGGCUUUUAAUUAAAAACAGCCUAUAAUCGAAAACGUCUCGGCGUCCCUGGCUCCCCCGCCGCCUGCCGGGAACCGAGAAGGGAACCGACGCCCCUCGGCCCGGCUGGGAGGGCUGGAGCGGGGCUGGGAACUCAGGUGGGCGCCCGGGGCGCAGUGGCCUGCCCCCACCCCUCCCGGGGCGCCCCCAUCUCGCCGGCCCCGGUCCCCGAUUCCGUUCUCGGCGGCCGGGAAACUGCGGGGAUGCCCCGGCGCCCCCGGAGGGGGAGGCGGGAUCGGGGACGAGCUGGAGAAGUUUGGAGACCAUCGCGCCCGGCCAGGGAUGGGAGGGCGGCCCGGCGGCGUACCUGGCGCGGCGGGGCUCCCGGCUCCGGGCUCCGGCGACGGCGACUCCGGUGGCGGCCCCGGCUCCCGGCGCGGUUAGGCGCCCGUGCUGCCCGCCAUCCCGCGGCCGCUGCUCCCCUUCGCCACCCGCAGCCGCCUCACACUUUUUGCCCGCCUUUCCUUUUUUUGGUAGAAAACCGCUCCCCGGGCCGAGCGCUCGGCGCGCCAACUCCUCCGCCCUCCCGCGGCCGGGCUCCCGCAGCCCCCGGAAAAGCCAGCUUUCCUCCCGCCGAGCUCCCCGCUUUUUAAUAAAAUCCAGGUAGCGCCGGUUUAAAGAAUCCCAAAUCUCCAUAUACAGCCCGGGAUUGGAAAAGGUACAUUACACACACCCCCCUUUCAAGUUCCUCUCGCUGGAUCUAAAAAAAAAAAAAAAAAAGCCAGCGGGGGGGGGAGGGGGCGGCUGGGGGAGGGGAGUACUCUCCGGCGAUGAAACACGCAUUGUUCCCGGGCGCCCGCCUCCCCCCGGGCCGGCCCCCGGCCCCCGCCCAUUGGCCGCGCGCGCCGCCAAUCACGCGCAUGUAAACACCUUGGCCCUCAGCCAUUCCUAUAAAACCAAUUACGGACCAAGGGGCUCCAGCAGUUUCCAGGCUCCCCUCGGCGGGGCUGAAUGAUCAAAACUGGUGCACAGGAAUUAUUCAAGGCUGGUUUCGGUUCUCUUCUGGCGACGACCGCAUCUUCGUACUCAAGGCACAGAUUACGGGUCAGCUCAAUUCGCCAGCGGCCGGAGGCUGCCUCCAAGCACCGAGCAGGACGGGAGGGAUGCUCUGCAAGCCGCGUCCGGCUGGAGGCGGCGGAGGCCUGAACGGGUCAUGGUCCCCGAAGUCACUAGGGACAGGGGACGUGGAUGGAAUAUAAGAGGGGAGAUCGACAGUCAAUCCCACCUCUGUCCCUUUCCGCCUGUGACCCCGGUCAGCUCAGUCUUCUCAUCUGUGACAUGGGCGUUGACACGAGUGUUCAGCAUGGGAACCCACCCCCGUCGUCUUCCACUGGUGCUGUCACCCGCGGCCUGGCUGAGCCGGGCACAGUGGGAGCCUCUGCAGGGCCCAGGGAAGGGGCAUGGCGGUGCCGAAGGACACGAGAAAUGGAAAGAGAGGGUUCAGCCACUCUGGCCUCCCAGGGGCGGCGAUGUGAGAACACGGCCCCAAGAUCCUUUGACGCUCCUCCUGUGGAAAGGUGGGGUUCCCGUUCCCUCCCCUUGAUGCUGGCCUCCAUGGCAGAAGGUGACGGAGUCGACAGUCCUCCCAGAACUGCCAGCUCCUGCUUUUUGCCUCUUGGGUGCUCCCUCUUGGAACCCAGCCGCCAUGCUGCGAGGAAGCCCAGAGGUCCCGAGGACAGGCCCGCGUGGAAGGCCCGGUUGUGCGUGUGUGUGUGUGUGUGUGAGCUCCUCAGAAAAGGGCAUCCAGCCCCAGUAGGUGCCCCAGCAGACGCCACGUGGAGCGGGGGUGAGCUGACCCUGCCAAGAUCGGCCCAAAUUGCAGAUUCACAAGCAAAUAAAUAAUUGUCGUCAUUGUGAGCCAGGAGCAUUGGGGUGGUGUGUUACACGGCAAUAGGUGACUAAAACGCAAGGUUCAGCUGAAAAGAGUUUCUGAGAACAUGCUUCAGGGACCUCCCAUGGGAGGUCCAGCAGUCACACGCACGUCCCAAACCUGCCCCCAUGAGCACCACUGCAGUGGUAGCUGGUACAUUUUCUUUUCUUUUUUUUAAAGUUAAUUUAAUUGCUUUUUUCUUUUGAAGAAGAAGAUUAGCCCUGAGCUAACAUCUGCUGCCAAUCCUCCUCUUUUUUUUUUGCUGAAGAAGACUGGUUCCGAGCUAACAUCCAUGCCCACCUUCCUCUACUUUAUAUGUAGGGUGCCUGCCACAGCAUGGCGUGCCAAGCAGUGCCAUGUCUGCACCCGGGAUCCCAACCGGCAAACCCCGGGCCGCCGAAGGGAACGUGCACACUUAACCGCUGUGCCACCGGGCGGGCCCAGCUGGUGAAUUUUCAACAACAGGUUCUCGGGGGUGGACGGGAGGGAAGCCCUGAUUUGUAGCAUCCACCGGUCUCUGUGGUGUAAAUAGUCCCGCCUUCGAGCUGCCACUGGACGCAGAGUUGGGAAGGGCCGGGCAGUGACGCGCCAUCAUAUACUAUUUCUACUGUACGGAUACAAUCAACAUAAACAGCCUCGAAAGCGUAGACGAGACUAAACUGUGGGAAAAUAAUUCGGAAAUGCAUGGCUUGACGAGCGGUGCCAUGUCCAUGCCCAGGAUCUGAACCGGCGAACCCUGGGCUGCCGAUGUGGAACGUGCGCACGUGACCUCUGCGCCACGGGGCCGGCCCCUCACCCCAGCCUUUGAGUCAUCCCAGGCCAUCGCGAACCAUACGGCUGGCGCGGCCGCUGGAGGCACACGGGCACACACCGAUGUCCCUGCCCUCGGGGAGCCCCCAGCUCGGGGGAGACAGAGCUGAAGCAGAUGCUAUGGGGAUGAUACGGAGAAGGCCAGCCGGUCCUCGGGGUCUGCA
This 3293-nucleotide long non-coding RNA is filed under the name Equus asinus (donkey). RNAcentral's name for it is "lncRNA (ENSEASG00005034158.1)". The record is from RNAcentral. Lineage: Eukaryota; Metazoa; Chordata; Mammalia; Perissodactyla; Equidae.